Molecule: ribosomal RNA, 497 nt
Filed under: uncultured bacterium
Lineage: Bacteria
Description: partial 16S ribosomal RNA
Rfam family: Bacterial small subunit ribosomal RNA
Source: RNAcentral
GAUGAACGCUGGCGGCGUGCCUAAUACAUGCAAGUCGAGCGAACAGACGAGGAGCUUGCUCCUCUUACUUUAGCGGCGAACGGGUGAGUAACACGUGGGUAACCUGCCUAUAAGACUGGGAUAACUUCGGGAAACCGGAGCUAAUACCGGAUAAUAUAGUGAACCGCAGGGUUCAAUAGAGAAAGACGUUGUUGCUGUCUCAGAUAGAUGGAUCCGUGCCGCAUUAGCGAGUUGGUACGGUAACGGCUUACCACGGCAACGAUGCGUAGCCGAGCUGAGGGGGUGAUAGGCCACACUGGAACGGGGACGCCGACCAGACGCCUAAGGGAGGCCGCAGUCUGCAACCGUACGCAAUGGGCGAAAGCCUUACGGAGCAACGCCGCGUGAGUGAUGAAGGUCUUCGGAUCGUAAAACACUGUUAUUAGUGAAGAACAAAUGUGUAAGUAACUAUGCACGUCGUGACGGUACCUAAUCAGAAAGCCACGGCUAACUACGUG